Molecule: ribosomal RNA, 492 nt
Filed under: uncultured bacterium
Lineage: Bacteria
Description: partial 16S ribosomal RNA
Rfam family: Bacterial small subunit ribosomal RNA
Source: RNAcentral
AGUGAACGCUGGCGGCAGGCUUAACACAUGCAAGUCGAACGGCAGCACAGUAAGAGCUUGCUCUUACGGGUGGCGAGUGGCGGACGGGUGAGGAAUACAUCGGAACCUACUUUUUCGUGGGGGAUAACGUAGGGAAACCUACGCUAAUACCGCAUACGACCUACGGGUGAAAGCAGGGGAUCUUCGGACCUUGCGCGAUUGAAUGAGCCGAUGUCGGUUUAGCUAGUUGGCGGGGUAAAGGCCCACCAAGGCGACGAUCCGUAGCUGGUCUGAGAGGAUGAUCGGCCACACUGGAACUGAGACACGGUCCAGACGCCUACGGGAGGCAGCAGUGGGGAAUAUUGGACAAUGGGCGCAAGCCUGAUCCAGCCAUACCGCGUGGGUGAAGAAGGCCUUCGGGUUGUAAAGCCCUUUUGUUGGGAAAGAAAAGCAGCAGGUUAAUACCCCGCUGUUCUGACGGUACCCAAAGAAUAAGCACCGGCUAACUUCGUG